Caenorhabditis elegans is the source of this 21-nucleotide non-coding RNA. The record is from Ensembl. Lineage: Eukaryota; Metazoa; Nematoda; Chromadorea; Rhabditida; Rhabditidae.
UUUUACGAAAAGUUGUUAUUU